UACGUAGGGUGCGAGCGUUGUUCGGAAUUACUGGGCGUAAAGGGCGCGUAGGCGGUGUGUCAAGUCAGGCGUGAAAGCCCCGGGCUCAACCUGGGAACCGCGCUUGAGACUGGCACGCUAGAGUUCGGGAGAGGAUGGUGGAAUUCCCAGUGUAGAGGUGAAAUUCGUAGAUAUUGGGAAGAACACCGAUGGCGAAGGCAGCCAUCUGGACCGACACUGACGCUGAGGCGCGAAAGCGUGGGGAGCAAACAGG
This 253-nucleotide ribosomal RNA is filed under the name uncultured bacterium. Its description in RNAcentral is "partial 16S ribosomal RNA". It matches the Rfam family "Bacterial small subunit ribosomal RNA", at positions 524 to 776 of the family's 1533-position model. The record is from RNAcentral.